GGUAGUGGGGGAUAACGUUCGGAAACGGACGCUAAUACCGCAUACGUCCUACGGGAGAAAGCAGGGGACCUUCGGGCCUUGCGCUAUCAGAUGAGCCUAGGUCGGAUUAGCUAGUUGGUGAGGUAAUGGCUCACCAAGGCUACGAUCCGUAACUGGUCUGAGAGGAUGAUCAGUCACACUGGAACUGAGACACGGUCCAGACUCCUACGGGAGGCAGCAGUGGGGAAUAUUGGACAAUGGGCGAAAGCCUGAUCC
This 255-nucleotide ribosomal RNA is filed under the name uncultured bacterium. RNAcentral's name for it is "partial 16S ribosomal RNA". It matches the Rfam family "Bacterial small subunit ribosomal RNA", at positions 132 to 389 of the family's 1533-position model. The record is from RNAcentral.